UACGUAGGGGGCUAGCGUUGUCCGGAUUUAUUGGGCGUAAAGAGCGUGUAGGCGGCCAGGUAGGUCUGCUGUGAAAACUCGAGGCUCAACCUCGAGACGUCGGUUGAAACCGUCUGGCUAGAGUCCGGAAGAGGAGAGUGGAAUUCCCGGUGUAGCGGUGAAAUGCGCAGAUAUCGGGAAGAACACCCGUGGCGAAGGCGGCUCUCUGGGACGGUACUGACGCUGAGACGCGAAAGCGUGGGGAGCGAACAGG
RNAcentral lists this ribosomal RNA (253 nucleotides) under uncultured bacterium. RNAcentral describes it as "partial 16S ribosomal RNA". It matches the Rfam family "Bacterial small subunit ribosomal RNA", at positions 524 to 776 of the family's 1533-position model. The record is from RNAcentral.